RNAcentral lists this ribosomal RNA (468 nucleotides) under uncultured bacterium. RNAcentral's name for it is "partial 16S ribosomal RNA". It matches the Rfam family "Bacterial small subunit ribosomal RNA", at positions 28 to 507 of the family's 1533-position model. The record is from RNAcentral.
GACGAACGCUGGCGGCGUGCUUAACACAUGCCAGUCGAACGGAAAGGCCCUGCUUUUGUGGGGUUCUCGAGUGGCGAACGGGUGUGUAACACGUGAGUAACCUGCCCUUGACUUUGGGAUAACUUCAGGAAACUGGGGCUAAUACCGGAUAGGAGCUCCUGCUGCUUGGUGGGGGUUGGAAAGUUUCGUCGGUUGGGAAUGGACUCGCGGCUUUUCAGCUUGUUGGUGGGGUAGUGGCUUACCAAGGCUUUGACGGGUAGCCGGCCUGAGAGGGUGACCGGCCACAUUGGGACUGAGAUACGGCCCAGACUCCUACGGGAGGCAGCAGUGGGGAAUAUUGCACAAUGGGCGGAAGCCGGAUGCAGCAACGCGGCGUGCGGGAUGACGCCCUUCGGGUGGUAAACCGCUUUCGUCUGUGACGAAGUGUGAGUGACGGUAAUGGGUAAAGAAGCACCGGCUAACUACGUG